UCCAGGGGAUCUUCCCAAUCCAGGAAUCAAAUUGGGGUCUCCUGCAUUGCAUUCUUUACCAACUGAGCUAUCAGGGAGAAGCUGAUAUCAAUGGUGGGAGAAGGAGUGAUGCAAACCCUUCUUUGUGCCCCACUGACUGUCAGACACACUGCCUUCUUGAAGGAAUGGAAUGAGCCAUGGAGUUAGCAUCUGGAGAUGGCAGAACAAGAAGACAGAAAGGAUGGAUCCUUCAUGAGGUGGCCCAGUUGCUAA
RNAcentral lists this long non-coding RNA (252 nucleotides) under Capra hircus (goat). RNAcentral describes it as "lncRNA (ENSCHIG00010000184.1)". Lineage: Eukaryota; Metazoa; Chordata; Mammalia; Artiodactyla; Bovidae. The record is from RNAcentral.